Non-coding RNA from Acanthosepion pharaonis, 115 nucleotides. NCBI's taxonomy places the organism in Eukaryota, Metazoa, Mollusca, Cephalopoda, Sepiida, Sepiidae. The record is from the annotation of a GenBank genome assembly.
UUGCAGUCACAUCACGUUGAAACACCAGUUCUCGUACGAUCACCGAAGUUAAGCAUAUGUCGAUCCUGGCCAGUAGCUAGAUGGGUGACCGCUUUGGAAUACCAAGUGUUGUAAG